ACGUAGGAGGCGAGCGUUAUCCGGAUUUACUGGGUGUAAAGCGCGUGCAGGCGGUUCUGCAAGUGGGACGUGAAAUCUCCCGGCUCAACCGGGCGAGGACGUUCCGUACUUCGGGACUAGAGACAGGCAGAGGAGUGUGGAAUUCCCGGUGUAGUGGUGAAAUGCGUAGAGAUCCGGAGGAACACCAGUGGCGAAGGCGACUUGCUGGGUCUGGUCUGACGCUCAGACGCGAAAGCAUGGGUAGCGAACGG
Molecule: ribosomal RNA, 251 nt
Filed under: uncultured prokaryote
Description: partial 16S ribosomal RNA
Rfam family: Bacterial small subunit ribosomal RNA
Source: RNAcentral